GAUGAAGAACGUAGCGAAAUGCGAUAAGUAAUGUGAAUUGCAGAAUUCAGUGAAUCAUCGAAUCUUUGAACGCACAUUGCGCCCGCCAGUAUUCUGGCGGGCAUGCCUGUUCGAGCGUCAUUUCAACCAUCAAGCCCCCGGCUUGUGUUGGGGACCUGCGGCUGCCGCAGGCCCUGAAAACCAGUGGCGGGCUCGCUGUCACACCGAGCGUAGUAGAUUUUCAUCUCGCUCAGGGCGUGCUGCGGGUUCCGGCCGUAAAAAGCCUUAUUUACCCAAGGUUGACCUCGGAUCAGGUAGAAAGACCCGCUGAACUUAAGCAUAUCAAUAAGCGGAGGA
Molecule: unclassified non-coding RNA, 336 nt
Filed under: soil metagenome
Description: partial contains 5.8S ribosomal RNA, internal transcribed spacer 2, and large subunit ribosomal RNA
Rfam family: 5.8S ribosomal RNA (bases 1-120)
Source: RNAcentral